This 301-nucleotide ribosomal RNA is filed under the name uncultured bacterium. RNAcentral's name for it is "partial 16S ribosomal RNA". It matches the Rfam family "Bacterial small subunit ribosomal RNA", at positions 509 to 808 of the family's 1533-position model. The record is from RNAcentral.
CAGCCGCCACGGUAAUACGUAGGUGGCAAGCGUUGUCCGGAAUUAUUGGGCGUAAAGCGCGCGCAGGCGGUUUCUUAAGUCUGAUGUGAAAGCCCCCGGCUUAACCGGGGAGGGUCAUUGGAAACUGGGAGACUUAGAGUGCAGAAGAGGAGAGUGGAAUUCCACGUGUAGCGGUGAAAUGCGUAGAGAUGUGGAGGAACACCAGUGGCGAAGGCGACUCUCUGGUCUGUAACUGACGCUGAGGAGCGAAAGCGUGGGGAGCGAACAGGAUUAGAUACCCGUGUAGUCCCUGUCUCUUAUU